UUGUGAGGAAGCCUAGGCCACAUGAAGAGGUCACAUAGAUGUGUUCCAGGCAGCAGCCACAGCAGAGGUCUCAAUCAGCCAUCAUACAUGUGCUUAAAGGUGCCUUCAGAUAAUUUUGCUUCUCAGAUGUCAAGUCUUCCAUCUGGGGUCCAAGACAUCACAGGGCAGAGUCAAGCCUUCCCCUCUGUACACUGCUCGAAUUCCCCGCUCACAGAAAUUGUGAGUAUAAGAAAAGGUUGAGAGAGGUGUAAAUGGCUCUUAUUUGAACCACAGUGAAUCCACAUAUUCAAGUUGGCUUCUUGGGAAAUUUCAGGCCACAAAUGGCAGUAAUGUGAUCAGGAGCAGUAACAUGUAGCACUUUCAUCUGGACAGAACGAACCCAGGCCAAGCCCUGAUGGGAGGAACGGGAGCCACCAAUGAGAGCAGACCUCAGAAGGCCAACAGAGGUGAGAGGAGCCCCAUCCACAGUCCCAUCCUCUGGAUGCUGUGGGCAGAGGUGCACAGAAUGCUGCCCCUUGGAGUGAGUCGGUAGCAGAGCCCUUGCUGAUGGCUGCAAAUGCCCCAUAAAAACGUGUUUGGGAUGAUUCUGGGACCUGGUUUCAAUUUCUUUUCUGCCAGUCAGCAGUUGUGCUUGACUCACAAUUUGUUGCCAUCUCCUGAAUUAACUCAGGAACCGGGAAAAAGAUCAGAACCACAUUGUAAAGGCUUCCUUAUGGUUCCUUUUCUGCUAAGGUAAAUAAUGGGCAGCUCUGUUCCACCUCUCUGGAGAGCUCAGACCACACUACCAGGAGCUCCUAGCUGCAGAGUGAGCACAGGCUGCUGGUCUCUAGAUGAGGAAAGACAGCAGUGUCCAAUCUACCCUGCUUUGCACGAGCCCCAGGUGCUCUCCCAGACCGUGUUGCUACAUAAAGCACAUGGUGAUUGCGUGAUGCUAACCAGAGCAGCCCGUCACUCAUUAGAAACAUCUGCUUUGCUUUAUUUACACAAGAAAAGCUUUUUCUUUUACUGAGCCUACCCAGUUCAAACUUAAGUGGGAUUUGUCAACUAUCUGGCUAAUUUUAUUUUCAUGAGCAAUAAUAAAGAUUGGUGAACACUUGG
Callithrix jacchus (white-tufted-ear marmoset) is the source of this 1098-nucleotide non-coding RNA. Lineage: Eukaryota; Metazoa; Chordata; Mammalia; Primates; Cebidae. The record is from RefSeq and is a predicted model, not a curated record.